Molecule: ribosomal RNA, 431 nt
Filed under: Salmonella enterica
Lineage: Bacteria; Pseudomonadati; Pseudomonadota; Gammaproteobacteria; Enterobacterales; Enterobacteriaceae
Also listed under: 2 other names
Description: partial 23S ribosomal RNA
Rfam family: Bacterial large subunit ribosomal RNA
Source: RNAcentral
AGACCCGAAACCCGGUGAUCUAGCCAUGGGCAGGUUGAAGGUUGGGUAACACUAACUGGAGGACCGAACCGACUAAUGUUGAAAAAUUAGCGGAUGACCUGUGGCUGGGGGUGAAAGGCCAAUCAAACCGGGAGAUAGCUGGUUCUCCCCGAAAGCUAUUUAGGUAGCGCCUCGUGAAUUCAUCUCCGGGGGUAGAGCACUGUUUCGGCUAGGGGGCCAUCCCGGCUUACCAACCCGAUGCAAACUGCGAAUACCGGAGAAUGUUAUCACGGGAGACACACGGCGGGUGCUAACGUCCGUCGUGAAGAGGGAAACAACCCAGACCGCCAGCUAAGGUCCCAAAGUCAUGGUUAAGUGGGAAACGAUGUGGGAAGGCCCAGACAGCCAGGAUGUUGGCUUAGAAGCAGCCAUCAUUUAAAGAAAGCGUAAUA